UUGGUUAACCUAGCCGGUAAGACUGGGAUAACUCCGGGAAACCGGAGCUAAUACCGGAUAGUUCCUUGAACCGCAUGGUUCAAGGAUGAAAGACGGUUUCGGCUGUCACUUACAGAUGGACCCGCGGCGCAUUAGCUAGUUGGUGAGGUAACGGCUCACCAAGGCGACGAUGCGUAGCCGACCUGAGAGGGUGAUCGGCCACACUGGGACUGAGACACGGCCCAUACUCCUACGGGAGGCAGCAGUAGGGAAUCUUCCGCAAUGGACGAAAGUCUGACGGAGCAACGCCGCGUGAGUGAUGAAGGUUUUCGGAUCGUAAAGCUCUGUUGUUAGGGAAAAACAAGUGCAAGAGUAACUGCUUGCACCUUGACGGUACCUAACCAAAAAGCACGGCUAACUACGUGCCAGCAGCCGCGGUAAUACGUAGGUGGCAAGCGUUGUCCGGAAUUAUUGGGCGUAAAGGGCUCGCAGGCGGUUUCUUAAGUCUGAUGUGAAAGCCCCCGGCUCAACCGGGGAGGGUCAUUGGAAACUGGGAAACUUGAGUGCAGAAGAGGAGAGUGGAAUUCCACGUGUAACGGUGAAAUGCGUAGAGAUGUGGAGGAACACCAGUGGCGAA
This 616-nucleotide ribosomal RNA is filed under the name Bacillus stratosphericus. Its description in RNAcentral is "bacterial SSU rRNA". It matches the Rfam family "Bacterial small subunit ribosomal RNA", at positions 117 to 719 of the family's 1533-position model. Lineage: Bacteria; Bacillati; Bacillota; Bacilli; Caryophanales; Bacillaceae. The record is from RNAcentral.